GAUGAACGCUGGCGGCGUGCCUAAUACAUGCAAGUCGAGCGAACAGACGAGGAGCUUGCUCCUCUGACGUUAGCGGCGGACGGGUGAGUAACACGUGGAUAACCUACCUAUAAGACUGGGAUAACUUCGGGAAACCGGAGCUAAUACCGGAUAAUAUAUUGAACCGCAUGGUUCAAUAGUGAAAGACGGUUUUGCUGUCACUUAUAGAUGGAUCCGCGCCGCAUUAGCUAGUUGGUAAGGUAACGGCUUACCAAGGCGACGAUGCGUAGCCGACCUGAGAGGGUGAGCGGCCACACUGGAACUGAGACACGGUCCAGACUCCUACGGGAGGCAGCAGUAGGGAAUCUUCCGCAAUGGGCGAAAGCAUGACGGAGCAACGCCGCGUGAGUGAUGAAGGUCUUCGGAUCGUAAAACGCUGUUAUUAGGGAAGAACAAAUGUGUAAGUAACUAUGCACGUCUUGACGGGACCUAAUCAGAAAGCCACGGCUAACUACGU
RNAcentral lists this ribosomal RNA (496 nucleotides) under uncultured bacterium. RNAcentral's name for it is "partial 16S ribosomal RNA". It matches the Rfam family "Bacterial small subunit ribosomal RNA", at positions 28 to 506 of the family's 1533-position model. The record is from RNAcentral.